UACGUAGGUGGCAAGCGUUGUCCGGAUUUACUGGGCGUAAAGGGCGUGCAGGCGGUUUGUUAAGUCUAGGGUGAAAGCUCCCGGCUCAACUGGGAGAGGUCCUUGGAUACUGGCAGACUUGAGGAGGGUAGAGGAGAGUGGAAUUCCCGGUGUAGUGGUGAUAUGCGUAGAUAUCGGGAGGAACACCAGUGGCGAAGGCGACUUACUGGACACAUAUUGACGCUGAGGUGCGAAAGCGUGGGGAGCAAACAGG
RNAcentral lists this ribosomal RNA (253 nucleotides) under uncultured bacterium. Its description in RNAcentral is "partial 16S ribosomal RNA". It matches the Rfam family "Bacterial small subunit ribosomal RNA", at positions 524 to 776 of the family's 1533-position model. The record is from RNAcentral.